RNAcentral lists this transfer RNA (72 nucleotides) under Ictidomys tridecemlineatus (thirteen-lined ground squirrel). Its description in RNAcentral is "Spermophilus tridecemlineatus (thirteen-lined ground squirrel) tRNA". It matches the Rfam family "tRNA". Rfam says of the family: Transfer RNA (tRNA) molecules are approximately 80 nucleotides in length. Their secondary structure includes four short double-helical elements and three loops (D, anti-codon, and T loops). Lineage: Eukaryota; Metazoa; Chordata; Mammalia; Rodentia; Sciuridae. The record is from Rfam by way of RNAcentral.
GGGGAGGUACCUCAGUGGUAGAGCCCCUACCUAACAUGCAGGAUUCCCUGGGUCUAAUUCCCAGCCCCCCCU